Molecule: transfer RNA, 77 nt
Filed under: Candidatus Parabeggiatoa sp. HSG14
Lineage: Bacteria; Pseudomonadati; Pseudomonadota; Gammaproteobacteria; Thiotrichales; Thiotrichaceae
Also listed under: 1 other name
Description: tRNA-Ile
Rfam family: tRNA
About the family: Transfer RNA (tRNA) molecules are approximately 80 nucleotides in length.
Source: RNAcentral
GGGUCUAUAGCUCAGUUGGUUAGAGCGCACCCCUGAUAAGGGUGAUGUCGGUGGUUCAAAUCCACUUAGACCCACCA